This 92-nucleotide transfer RNA is filed under the name Caudoviricetes sp. RNAcentral's name for it is "tRNA-Ser". It matches the Rfam family "tRNA". From Rfam's summary of the family: Transfer RNA (tRNA) molecules are approximately 80 nucleotides in length. Their secondary structure includes four short double-helical elements and three loops (D, anti-codon, and T loops). Lineage: Duplodnaviria; Heunggongvirae; Uroviricota; Caudoviricetes. The record is from RNAcentral.
AGAUACUUAGUGCAAUCGGAAGCACGCCAUACAACUUGAAGAUACCGUUCUUAUCGUAUGGAAAUAUUGGUUCGAAUCCGAUAGUAUCUCCA